RNAcentral lists this ribosomal RNA (911 nucleotides) under uncultured archaeon. RNAcentral describes it as "bacterial SSU rRNA". It matches the Rfam family "Archaeal small subunit ribosomal RNA", at positions 1 to 921 of the family's 1478-position model. The record is from RNAcentral.
UUCCGGUUGAUCCUGCCGGACCUGACUGCUAUCGGAUUGAUAUUAAGCCAUGCGAGUCAUUGUAGCAAUGCAAGGCAACGGCUCAGUAACGCGUAGUCAACCUAACCUAUGGACGGGGAUAACCUCGGGAAACUGAGAAUAAUACCCGAUAGAACAUUAUGCCUGGAAUGGUUUAUGUUUCAAAUAAUUAUUGCCGUAGGAUGGGACUGCGGCCUAUCAGUUUGUUGGUGAGGUAAUGGCCCACCAAGACUAUUACAGGUACGGGCUCUGAGAGGAGUAGCCCGGAGAUGGGUACUGAGACACGGACCCAGGCCCUAUGGGGCGCAGCAGGCGAGAAAACUUUGCAAUGUGCGAAAGCACGACAAGGUUAAUCCGAGUGGUUUCUGCUAAAGGAACCUUUUGUUAGUCAUAGAACCACUAAUGAAUAAGGGGUGGGCAAGUUCUGGUGUCAGCCGCCGCGGUAAAACCAGCACCUCAAGUGGUCAGGAUGAUUAUUGGGCCUAAAGCAUCCGUAGCCUGCUUUGUAAGUUUUCGGUUAAAUCCAUACGCUCAACGUAUGGGCCGCCGGAAAUACUGCAAAGCUAGGGAGUGGGAGAGGUAGACGGUACUCGGUAGGAAGGGGUAAAAUCCUUUGAUCUAUUGAUGACCACCUGUGGCGAAGGCGGUCUACCAGAACACGUCCGACGGUGAGGGAUGAAAGCCGGGGGAGCAAACCGGAUUAGAUACCCGGGUAGUCCCAGCUGUAAACUAUGCAAACUCGGUGAUGCAUUGGCUUGAUGCCAAUGCAGUGCCGCAGGGAAGCCGUUAAGUUUGCCGCCUGGGAAGUACGUACGCAAGUAUGAAACUUAAAGGAAUUGGCGGGGGAGCACCACAAGGGGUGAAGCCUGCGGUUCAAUUGGAGUCAACGCCGG